GAGUUUGAUCAUGGCUCAUAUUGAACGCUGGCGGCAGGCCUAACACAUGCAAGUCGAGCGGAAACAAGUUAUCUGAUCCUUCGGGGAACGAUAUCGGCGUCGAGCGGCGGACGGGUGAGUAAUGCCUAGGAAAUUGCCCUGAUGUGGGGGAUAACCAUUGGAAAGGAUGGCUAAUACUCCAUAAUGCCUUCGGGCCACGUAUGGGGACGUUAGGGCCUCUUGAGUCAGGAUAUGCCUAGGUGGGAUUAGCUAGUGCGUGAGGUAGAGGCUCACCAAGGUGACGAUCCGUAGCUGGUCUGAGAGGAUGAUCAGCCACACUGAAUUGAGACACGGUCCAGACUCCUACGGGAGGCAGCAGUGGGGAAUAUCGCACAAUGGGCGCAAGCCUGAUGCAGCCAUGCCGCGCGUGUGAAGAAGGCCUUAGGGUUGUAAAGCACUUUCAGUAGUGAGGAAGGCAGGAUAGUUAAUAGCUGUAUUGUUUGACGUUAGCGACAGAAGAAGCACGGACUAACUCCGUGCCAGCAGCCGCGGUAAUACGGAGGGUGCAAGCGUUAAUCGGAAUUACUGGGCGUAAAGCGCAUGCAGGUGGUUUGUUAAGUCAGAUGUGAAAGCCCGGGGCUCAACCUCGGAAUAGCAUUUGAAACUGGCAGACUAGGGUACUGUAGAGGGGGGUAGAAUUUCAGGUGUAGCGGUGAAAUGCGUAGAGAUCUGAAGGAAUACCGGUGGCGAAGGCGGCCCCCUGGACAGAUACUGACACUCAGAUGCGAAAGCGUGGGGAGCAAACAGGAUUAGAUACCCUGGUAGUCCACGCCGUAAACGAUGUCUACUUGGAGGUUGUGGCCUUGAGCCGUGGCUUUCGGAGCUAACGCGUUAAGUAGACCGCCUGGGGAGUACGGUCGCAUGAUUAAAACUCAAAUGAAUUGACGGGGGCCCGCACAAGCGGUGGAGCAUGUGGUUUAAUUCGAUGCAACGCGAAGAACCUUACCUACUCUUGACAUCCAGAGAAGCCAGCGGAGACGCAGGUGUGCCUUCGGGAGCUCUGAGACAGGUGCUGCAUGGCUGUCGUCAGCUCGUGUUGUGAAAUGUUGGGUUAAGUCCCGCAACGAGCGCAACCCUUAUCCUUGUUUGCCAGCGAGUAAUGUCGGGAACUCCAGGGAGACUGCCGGUGAUAAACCGGAGGAAGGUGGGGACGACGUCAAGUCAUCAUGGCCCUUACGAGUAGGGCUACACACGUGCUACAAUGGCGCAUACAGAGGGCAGCCAACUUGCGAAAGUGAGCGAAUCCCAAAAAGUGCGUCGUAGUCCGGAUUGGAGUCUGCAACUCGACUCCAUGAAGUCGGAAUCGCUAGUAAUCGUGGAUCAGAAUGCCACGGUGAAUACGUUCCCGGGCCUUGUACACACCGCCCGUCACACCAUGGGAGUGGGCUGCAAAAGAAGAAGGUAGUUUAACCUUCGGGAGGACGCUUACCACUUUGUGGUUCAUGGCUGGGGUGAAGUCGUAACAAGGUAACC
This 1512-nucleotide ribosomal RNA is filed under the name uncultured marine bacterium. Its description in RNAcentral is "bacterial SSU rRNA". It matches the Rfam family "Bacterial small subunit ribosomal RNA". The record is from RNAcentral.